Molecule: long non-coding RNA, 2328 nt
Organism: Dreissena polymorpha
Lineage: Eukaryota; Metazoa; Mollusca; Bivalvia; Myida; Dreissenidae
Exons: 7
Source: RefSeq, a predicted model, not a curated record
CUGUAUAGAUAAAAUGAUGUGGGUACAUCUUGCAAAUCUAUUGAUAACUUUAAAAUAUUUUCAAAAACGAAACUCCCUUUAUUUAAUUAUCAAAUUGGCGUGUUAAACUUGCAGAGUACUAUUCACAACAUUGGCACACUCAAAGAGGCUUGCGAAGGAAGUGAUGAGGUACGUAAGCGGCAACUUAUUGAUAAGUGCUACGAUGACGAAGAAGAGAGCGACACUGAUUAUGAGGACGCCCAGGAAACGGUAAGUAUAGUAUUCUUAACAAUGCCCAGAUGUAUAGAUAUACUUUAAUGACUUCAAAGAACCCUUUUCUUAGAAAGCUGUUAAUUUUAUUUUCCUUGAAGGAAUCUAUACUUAUAAGCACAUCCAACCAUCUCGUUAAACAUACAUGUUAAAAAAAUGUCUGAUUAUAUAUGUCGAUUUAAAACUAAAAUGAGAUCUAGUUAAUCAAUGUCGCGUACGUUAACUUCGUAAAUUGUGCUCCACAAUAUGCAAGUUUGGAAUGGAAAAGGUAAUGUUUAUGUAUAUGCGAUAAGUUUGUAAACUGGGGUCACAGACACACAUUUACUUCAUUUUGUUACAGUAUGAUUUUAUACUAAUUGGAACAGGUAAAGCGAGUAAAAUUAUAAAUCAGUUAACCUAGACACUUAGUAGAUUUUGGUUGUUAUCCUUCCUUAUCCGGGGUUCACACAAUAUAAACCCGAAUCCUGAAUCCUUGAUGAAGGGAUUAGGAAGACACCCAUGUUUACUUCAUUUCAUCGAUCCUCGAGUGAACAAAUUUUGUGUCUUGUGUUGUAUUGUGCUGUUUUGGCAAUUGGUCACUUGCCUUAAAUUAAUGACUUGAUUUAUCACCUGGUGUUUCUAUAGUUUCUUAAUUUUAUAUUUGAUAGGCUGAUGACACCUUCUGUUUGUAUGUAAUGAAAAUAUGGGUGUGACAUCCCACAAUUUGUUUUUUACAUGCAAUUUUUUCUUCAGGCUAGGGUCUUUUUUCCUGGGCCUAAAAAUACCCUGCAAAAAGUUUGUGUAUGGGAAAAUUAAACAACAGUUUCCUUAACUGCAGAAAUACACAACUAAUUACAAUACCAAUAACAUGUUACAGCAUAUACUAAGCUGUUACAUAUCAUUCAAGCCAUCGGAGGGGGAGGAUGAGGGGUCACCCACCAAUGACCAGCAAUCACCAAAAAAGAACAGCGGAAACAGCAACAAUCAACAAAAGGAGCUACCCAGCAACAACAAAAGAGAAGAAGCACCCAGAUCAAGAAUAAAUAGACAUCAUGAACGGACAAUGACAUUGAAUUCAGCGGGAGUUAUCUGACAGGAAAUACAAAUAAGUACCAACUAUGAUGGCGAUUGAUAUGUACUGAAGAAUACGAGUUGUAUUUUUAUAAGUAUCUUGAAAAUGUCAACUGGUGUGAAAGAAACAAUAAAAUGACAUACUUUGAGGCAUUCCUCGAUCAACUGGGUGAAGUCGUCUUUAUUUUAAUAAAUCAAAUUUAAUGAUAUGCAUAUGCUAUUAUCAAUCAUGUGUGGUUAUAUUCAAUGCAUUUGUUGUAUGAGUUACUUAUACGUAGUGGGUUUGGAUUACAGUCGACAGUUCUCAUAGAAUAGGAAAAAAAUGCUAUAUUUGUUGGGAAAAAGAAAAUCACGGGAGUGUAUAAUAGGGUCUGAAGGCGGAAAGAAUUAAUACAUCAAGAGAACAUGAUUCUCAUUCAAUAAACAUGACCAUUUUCAAAUGUAUCGCAAUCUUAUUAGUGUCUUAUAUGCGAUUAGUCGUUACGUUGUUUUUAAUCAAUUGCUUGAUUUGUAUGUGUGAGUUGUGAGCUGUAAAAGGAAAUAGAUACCCAUACUUAUACAUCUUUUGAUUGUUAUUAUUAUAUGUAUUUAUCUGUCGUUAUUAUGCAAUGCAUGAACCAUAAAUUAUUAUUGUAAUGUAACAUUGUCAUAUUUGAAAAAAACAACACACUGUUACGAACAACACUGUUACAUGUUACGAUAAUGAAUAUAUAAAACAAAAUUAUGUUACAUUUGGAUAAAUUCUAUGUAAGUGUAUCUAUGUAAGUGUAUUUGAGUUCAUGUGCUUGCUUGCGUCAGUUUGCUCGUAUGUUCAUGUAUACUGACCAGCACUUAUAUACACACAUAUAAACUUUCAAGAAAAUACUUAUUUGUUACACGUUAUAUUGGUAUAUUAUAAUAUUAUGUUUUAAACGAAUGUGAUUAUUGUGACAUUGUAUAUAUUCUUUAAUGUAUUCAUUUAAUGGCUGAUUGUAAACGCCCAUUUAAUUCGCUUCUUUAAUAAAGGUAAUAAGAUAUUAUAAAAACAGA